Molecule: long non-coding RNA, 2397 nt
Filed under: Marmota monax (woodchuck)
Lineage: Eukaryota; Metazoa; Chordata; Mammalia; Rodentia; Sciuridae
Source: RNAcentral
UAGUUACAGGUGGACACAAUGUCUUUAUUUUACUUUAUGUGGUGCUGAGCCAGUGCCUCAUGCAAGCUAGGCGAGUGCUCUACUGCUGAGCCACAACCCCAGCCCUCUUGUAUUCUUGAUAAUUGCUGUUCUGGCUGGAGUGAGGUAAAAUCUCAGUGUAGUUUUAAUUUGCAUUUCUUUAAUUGCUAGAGAUGUUGGAACAUUUUUUCAUGUGUCUGUUGCCCAUUUGUGUAUCUUCUUUUGAGAAGUGUCUGUUUAGUUCCUUUGCCCAUUUAUUGAUUGGGUCAUCUGUUUUUUUGUUGUUGUUGUUUGUUUGUUUGUUUUUUUUGGUUUUAAGCUUUUUGAGUUCUUUGUAUAUACUGGAAAUUAAUGCCUUAUCUGAGGGUGUGGGUGACAAAGAUUUUUCUGCCAUUCUGUAGGCACUCUCUUCAUGCUUUUAUUGUUUCCUUUGCUGUGAACAAGCUUUUAGUUUGAUACCAUCCCAUUUGUUGAUUUUUGAUUUUACUUGUACUUUAGGAGUCUUGUUGAGGAAAUUGGUUCCUAAGGGGACAUGCUGGAGUGUUGUGCCUAUAUUUUCUUUUAGUAGGCAGAGGGUUUCUGGUCAAUGUCUAGGUCUUUUUUUUUUUUUUUGGUGGGGAAAAACAAUUUUAUUUAUUUAUUUAAUUAAUUUUAAUUUGUUACAUAUGACAACAGAAUGUAUUACAAUUCAUAUUACACAUAGAGCACAAUUUUCCAUAUCUCUGGUUGUACACAAAGUAGAGUCACAUCCUUUGUGUCUUCAUACAUGUACUUAGGGUAAUGAUGACCAUCACAUUCUACUGGCUUUCCUACCCCUAUGCCCCUCCCUUCCCCUCCUUCCCCUUUUCCCUUUUGCCCUGUCUAGAGUUCAUUUGAUCCUCCCCAUCAUAUCCCCCCCACCACCCCACUCCCGCCAGCAUCCUUAAAUUCAAGAAAUCAUUUGGCAUUUGGUUUUUGGGGAUUGGCUAAUUUCACUUAGCAUUAUAUUCUCCAUCUCCAUUUAUUUACCUGCAAGUGCCAUUAUUUUAUUCUCUUUUAAUGUUGAAUAAUAUUCCAUUGUGUGUAUAUACCACAUUUUCUUUAUCCAUUUAUCUACUGAAGGGAAAGCCUAGGUCUUUAAUCAACUUUGAGUCGAAUUUUGUACAGGGUGAGAGAUGGGAUUAAAUUUCUUUCUGCUACAUAUGGAUUUCCAGUUUUCCCAGCACCAUUUGUUGAAGAGGGUAUCUAUUCUCCAGUGUAUAUUUUUGGUGCCUUUGUCCAGUAUUAGAUAUGUGGGUUUGUCUGUGUCUUCUGUUCCAUUGGUCUUUAUGCCUGUGUUGGUGCCAAACCAUGCUGUUUUUGUUACCGUAGCUCUAUAGUAUAGUGUAAGGUUUGGUGUUGUGAUGCCUCCUGCUUCACUUUUCUUGCUAAAGAUUGCUUUGGGGGCUGGAGUUGUGGCUCAGUGGUACAGCACUUGCCUAGUGUGAGGCACUGGGUUCGAUUCUCAGCACCACAUAUGAAUAAAUGAAUAAAAUAAAGGUCCAUCGACAACUGAAUAUAUGUGUGUGUGUGUGCGUGUAUGUGUGUGUAUAUAUGUGUGUGUGUGUAUAUAUAUUUAUUUUUAAAAAGAUUGCUUUGGCUAUUCUGGGCCUCCUGUUUUUCAAAAUGAAUUUCAUGACGGCUUUUUCUAUUUCUGUGAAGAACAUCAUUGGAAUUUUAAUAAGAAUUGUAUUAAGUCUGUAUAGUGCUUUUGGUAGUAUGGCCAUUUUGACUAUUAAUUCUGCCUAUCCAAGAAUAUGGGAGAUCUUUCCAUCUUCUGAGGUCUUUUUUAGUUUCUCUCUUUAGUGUUCUGUAGUUUUCAUUGCAGAGGUCUUUCACCUCUUUUGUUAGAUUGAAUCCCAAAUAUUUCAUUUUAUUUUUUUGAGGCUGUUGUGAAUGGGAUAGUUUUCCUAAUUUCUUUUAGCUGACUUAUCACUGUUAUAUAGAAUGUAAUUGAUUUAUGGGUGUUAAUUUUAUAUCCUGCUGGUGGAGUUUUUUUUUUGCCUUCUAAAUAUAGGAUCAUAUUACUAGCGUAUAGGGAUAGUUUAAGCUUCUCUUUUCCUUUUCGUAUCCCUGCAAUUUUCUUUUGCCUAAUUGCUCUGGAUAGAGUUUCAAGGGUAUAUUGAAUAGAUGAGCUGAAAGAGCAUCCCUGUGUUGUUCCAGUUUUUAGAGGGAAUGCUUUUAGUUUUUCUCCAUUUAGAGUGAUGUUGGCCUUGGAUUUAACAUAUAUGGCUUUUACAAUGUUGAGGUAUGUUUCUACUAUCCCUAGUUUUUCUAGUGUUUUGAAUACAAAUGGACGCUAUAUUUUGUCAAAUGCUUUUCUGUAUCUAUUAAGAUAAUGUGAUUCUUGUUUUUAAGUUU